Molecule: long non-coding RNA, 22369 nt
Filed under: Ananas comosus (pineapple)
Lineage: Eukaryota; Viridiplantae; Streptophyta; Magnoliopsida; Poales; Bromeliaceae
Description: long non-coding RNA (ACOM_LNC029401)
Source: RNAcentral
AAAAAAAAGAAAAAAAAAAAGAAAAAAGAGCACGCUGAAAAAGUUUACCAAAAGAGAAAUGCUUCAAUAUAUGAGUUAAGUUAGAAUACUCUCAAAAGCACCAAGGGGUGGUGCUUUUACGUUUGUAACCAUUGGAUGAAGAGAUAUAAGGUUGAGAUGAUGGUCGUAGGUGGUGGUAGGUGGAAUAGUGUUUGAUCUAAGGGGUAUUAGUAAUUAAGGAGUAGAUCCAAAGUCUAGAAAUUUAGAAGUAUCAAGGGGUUGGUGCUUCUAAAAGUAUUCUAGCUCAAUUCAAUAUUGUGGCUCAAUUAAAUCUAGCAGCUCAUAUUUUAAGAAUCAAAUUGACUUUACGCAGUAGCAACUUGCUCAACAGGUUACCACUCAAAAUCAAUAGUAAGGAUAACAUUAGAAAAUAAAUACUAGCCAAUUACCAACUGUGCUAAACCCUAACUAAAUAUUUGUUUCCUUAUUUAAUUUUGUUACUUACCAAAUUAGAUAGUGGCUAAUUUGAUAAGUAACAAACCUUAAUAAAAUUUAAUUUAAAAUUUAAUUUGAGCUUAACUUUAUAAUUGUAUAGAUUAAAUUCAAAUUUAAUUUUACAUUUAAUUUUCAUAAAGAAAAAUUAUGUUUAAAUGAGUAGUACAUUUCAAUUCAAAUUAUUAAUUUAAUAUUAAAAUAACAUGAAAGUUCAAAUAUAUUAAUUUAUUUUAAAUUGUAAGUUAUGUUGUACUUAUAAACCCAACUUUUAUUAUUUAUUUAAAUAAAAGGCUUCUAUUUUUAAAUUAAAUUCAAACACAGCAACACUCCAAUGUCGUAUUACCACCAAAUUAAGAGAAAAAAAAUGAUAUAUCACUUAAAAAUUAAAAGUAUAGAUUAACUAUUACUUUAAAAAUGAAAGCAAAAAAGAUCGGAUUUCUCUGUCAAAAGAAAAAGAAAAAACAAAUGGACAUGGGUUUGGAGGAAGAUGAGAUGCUGUAGAUGGAAAAUUUACAAAAAUGGAAGGGGAAGAUGGAAUGUGGGACAUUAUGGAAAUGAAAAUGGGAAUAGAAAUUUACAAAAAUGUCAUUGAUGCUAACCCUACAUUAUGAGAAAAUUCUUUACCCUCGGAAUGAGGGUGAUUGGUACCCAAGGCAAUAAAAACCGGUCAUCCUCUAAAAUAAAAUGCAUCCUUAUCUUUCAUUCUAAAAAAAUUAAGGAUUAAAAUUUGUUGGUGUAUAUGAGCAUUGUUCUUGGCAAAAAUGUCUAUUUCUGAUAAUAAUAACAAGUAGCCAUAUAUCUUUUAUAUUAAUUUAAUUUCUUUAGUUUUAUGGAGUGAAGCAUAUAACUACUUAAUUAUUAGUUUUUAAAGAAUAAAAAUUGCAUAACCUGUGCGAAUUUUCGGAAUUGAAGAUAUGUUUUAAAUUUCGAAGCUCAUGUACUUUUAAAAGUAUAGGAACUCGAUGUACUUGUGAAUUUUUAGCAGUCGGAUUGCCUCAAGAUUUGUACAGUAUUAAUAAACGAUAUUUAAUUGACCACACCGUUAAUAGUGCUGCACGAAUCUUGAAGCGACCUGACGGCUAAAAAGUAAACUUCUGAUAUGAUUAUAAUUUAGUUUUAUGUAUCCCUCACUUAUCUAAAAAAAUAUAUGUAAUCUCUAAGUCAGCAAAGAUUAGAUACUUUUUGUGACUAAAGAUAGCAAAUUCUUCUACGCACAAUUGAAAAAAGAAUCACGCUCAUUUAGUUUGCCGAUUUGCGUGCUCAGAAAUCCAAAAAUAAUAUGAUAUAAUAUGAUAUAUAUAUAUAUAUAUAUAUAUAUAUAUAUAAGGGAAUUCGAUGCAUCAUUGGACUCUGCAUGUGACCGCAUUAUAGAGUUCCACUGAUCGUGAUCAACUGGUCAUAAUUAGUAAUGCACAGAAACAACCGCACCAUCAGCAUGACGAAAACAUUGCCCUUCUAAAAAAUAAUACAAGCGUAAAUUGAUAUUCUUAAAAAUUAAGUUCAUAAUAUUCCCAAAUUGAUAUUCUUAAAAAGUUCAUAAUAUUCCCAUGUCCCUUAUCCUUGCCUUGUGGUCAUGUAAUGUAGGAGCUAAUAACUGAUCAGUAUCAAUUAAGCUAUCUGACUUAAGAGCAUCUUCAUUAUAUAUCUCUCUUCAUGUAGAAGUUGUUAUAUAUUUUCUUUUUUUCUAAAAAAAUUAAUUUUCUUCCAAAAUUCUAAGGUAACGUUUGCUUUGGGAACAAAGGGGGGGAUAAGUUCUUGUUCCCCCUUUGUCCCAAACAAUGCGUUUGGUACCCGAGAAUAGUAAUUUUCGAGUUUCUGAAAUAAGUCGGUAUAAGGCUGGAACUGUUGUUCCAUCUUUUUUCCGGAACAAACUUGUUCCCAGGUGAGAAUAAAGUUAAUUAAAGUUUAAAAAUAAUUUUAAUUAUGGUAUUAAAUAAUUAAUUAAUUUAAUUAAUUAAUUAAAUUAUUAUUUAUUGAUUAAAUAAUAAAAUAAUUUAUUAGUUAUAAUUUUUAAUUAAAUUAUUAUUUAAAUUAUUAUUAAUAAUAACUUUAUUUAUUUAUUUAUAAGUUUAUAAUUAAUUAAUUAUUAAUUUAUUUAUUAAUUUAUAAUUGACUAAUUUAUCAUUAAUUUAUAUUUAAUUAAUUAAUUUAUUAUUUUUCAUAAUUAUUAAUAAUUAAUUAAAUAAUUUAAUAUUAAUUAAUUAAUUAAUUAGUAAUUUAUAAUUAUUAAAAAUUGAUUAUUAUCCAUUAUUUAAUUUGUUAUUAAUUAAUGUAUUAUUCUUUAUAAUGAGUAAUAAUUAAUUAGUUAAUUAAUAAAUUUAUUAUUAUUUAAUUAAUUUAUAAUUUAAAAUUAUUUAUAAAUUAUUAUUUAUUUUAUUAUUAAUUUAUUUAUUUAUUAUUUAUAAUUAUCAUUAAUUUAUUAUUUAUACUAUAUUACCUAAUUAAUUUAUUAUUAAUAGUUUAUUAUUUAUUAAUAGUUUAUUAUUUAUAAUUAUUUAUUAUUAAUUAGUUAAUUUAUUCUUAUUUUUAUUAUUUGUAAAUUAAUGUAUUAUUAUUAAGUAAUAUUUUGAUGUUAAUUAAUUAGAUAAAAUAAUUUUCAUUUAAAAUUAUAAUUUUUAUUCGUUUUGUUCUAGUCUAAUUAACCAUGCAAAUACUAUUUAUCUUAUUUUUAAGAACAAUCUAAUUUUCAUCGAAAUAUAAAAUUAAUUUAAUUUCUACUUAUAUCUGAACUUGUAUUUAUUCUUAAAAUAAAUAGUUUUAAUUUAUACCCGAGCUAAACACAGUAGGUCUUAAUAGUUCUGAGUCCCCACCAACGAGGAAUUCUACACUAUCACACUUGUACCACGUCAUCAAUAACAAGCCAAUCACAUUUCUUCUUUUCAAACAAAAGUACAAUAAAAAUAUUUUUUUACAAUUAUGAUGGGACAUAUAUUCUUAAAAGAUUAAUUUGAUUGAUUUAUUACGCCACGUCAUUAAUAUACCUGUUGCAUUCUAGAAUUUUUCCACACCAACACAUGCAUUCCUUCGUGAAGCGUCAACCACGAGUGGGUAACCGUACCCAAAUAUCAUCGUAAAAACCAAAUAUCAGGGAUAUGUGAAGCCAAAUUUUGGCGACCAGAGUCUUCCAAAGGAAAUUCAGGAAGAGGGACUUAAUUGGUUGCUGAGUCAACCGCAGAUACAGUAAAAUAUUGGAGAUGACGUGGGAUCCUCUUGUGAAGAAGAAGAUCGAGGAAGAUAAAAGAAAGCAAACUACACAGUUAUAUACAUAAUAAAUAUACAUAUAAAACAAUUAUAAGAGAUCAUUAUUAUUCUAACUCUAUAAAUCUUCAUCUAAAUAUCAACAAUCUACAAACACUAGCAACUUUGUGUUCUUAAAAGUAUAGAGGCACAGUCCUCUAUUUCUCUCUUUUUAUAUAGAGUUCAGCUACUAUACUCUUAUGAGUACAAUCGCCCUCAUACUUAUAAGUCAUUUUCGAUGAUAGAACUUCCAAAUUGACGAUCCAUAUAUUAUCUAAGAGUAUUUAAAAUUUUUAGAAAUCAAAUUUUAUAAUUUUUCGACAUCAUUUAUCUUACGAUCAAAAAAUUACAAGAUUGACAAUUUUUAACGGCUGGUGUAGAAUACUUGCUAGUUUACUGGUGUAAAAGAAUUGUAAUAAGUUGAAUUUUGAUAGAAAAUUCUAUUCACUAUCUAGAUAAAUAUCAACAACUCCGAUUUUAAAUUGAAGGAUCCGAUCAUCCAUUUCUAGUAUGUCGUUCAAUUUUGACUGUUCAUUUUAUGUCCGCUUGAUGAAUUUUACUAUAAUUUAGAAAAAUUACGAAAUUUAUUUUUUAAAAGUUUUAAAUAUUUUAGAUCAUAUUUAACUGGAUCGUCGAUUUGAAAACUCUGUUAUUGAAAAUAACUUAUGAGCACGUACGAAGGAUUCGAUACUCAUACGAGUAUAUUAACCUAACUCUCUCUCUCUCUCUCUCUCUCUAUAUAUAUAUAUAUAUGGUUGAUGACGUUGCCGGAUAAUCCACUGGGUGGUGGAAAACCACUGCGGAAUUGCAUGCUUUGUCGGUAGACGAUGAUAGGUGGCUGCGCCAACUCUGAACUCCAUUCGCUGUUGCCCUAAUAUGUAAUGUGUUGUAUUAACAUCAACCUAUUGCUUUGACUACUAACAUAUAUGGGCUUUUUUCUUUUAUUGUUUUUCGUUUUUAAUAUUUUACGUGGCUUCGAAACUUCGCGUCCCGCUAUAGUGCAAGCCCCACCACAGGGCAGUGCACAAGAUGUAAGGAUAAAUGAGUGUAGAGAAUAUUUUUUAUUUGUUAAGUGGAUGAGAAAACCAUCCCACCCUCCUCCAAAUUCUCAAUAUAUAUGCGAUGGUGUUUUUAUAAAAUAAGUAACUUAAUUUAAUUAUCUAACCCUACGUCUACUACGGAGUUUUUUUAACAUUUAGUUCGUUCAAAUAGUCUUUUAAAAUUUAUAUUUGCAGAAUUGGUCUUCCUGCAACGCGAGCGCCAUGCUGGAUGGGGGAGGGCCAUGUUGGAUUUAAGUUGAACAUGGUGAUAGUCACUGUAUUUAAACACAGUGAUUGUAUUACUGCUUAUAAAUACAGUAAAUCAAUCGCUGUGUGAUUCACCACAUUUUUAACACGUAAAUCAAUCAUCGUGUUCCUUAAGUUUAAACCUUCUACUGCACUUCUCUUUUCUCUUCUCCCGAACACUCAUCCCUCUCUCUCUCUCUCUCUCUCUCUCUCUCUCUCUCUCUCUCUCUCUCUCUCUCUCCAUGAGCCUCUUCUCCUCCAUGUAAUAUACUGAAUUUCAGUAUAUCGUACCGAACUUUGCUUAUAUUGAACAAAGUGCAGUCAAAAAAUGAAUAUGAAAGUAUUCUAGAAGAGUUUAAAGGUUUUAGAAUAAUUAGAUGUCAAUUGGAGCUAAACAGCACAAAAAUAGAUUUUUUUUUAGCAAAGGAAUCAGAGUCAUCAGACCUUUGGGAUCCGGAUGUUGGCAAGGGGAUCCUGAUUCUAAAACUACUGUUCAGACUCCAAACUUCAUUAUCUGAUCCUCAGGAAGGAGAUACGGACCUUCAGCUUGCAAACUCAGUCCAAUCAUUCAGGAUCUGGACCUUUACUAUGUAACAGGCAGAAUCAGACAUUCGGGAUCUGGACGUACCCCAACUAGUGUUAGAACUGAUAGAGAAAAAGUAUGAAGUAUAAAGAUGAAAAAGGCUUCAAGGCGUGUAGCGAUGCCACUCUCCUUAAGAUUUAAUCUAUCUCCAUCGUUCAAACAAUUUGGUGUGCACUGGGUCAACGAACAACCUCCAAGGAUACAAUGAAGCACAAAUUUUAAUUGCAUUUUCACUCACGAAGUCAUGCCUUUUAGCAUUCACUCGAUGAAGUUAUUAAAAAAAAUAGAAUUAGAAAAUAAGAAUGGAAUUAUUAUAAAUGAAGACUUUUCAAAUGUUUGUACUUCAACAACCAAUACUAUGGGCUUAUAUAGACCACGAACGGGUGCGUUGAAGUGACACUUUAUGAAUGGGUGUUUCGUGAAGUGACCUUUCAAUUGUGACUUUUCAUUUGAUCAUAACUAAUUAGUUAUAUAAGUCAAGUUCAAUGAAUUUAAGAAUUAAUUCCAACGGACAUAUGCUUGAAGAGGCAUACUAUAAAGUUGUGUCUUUUCAUACUAAUCCAUUCACCAAAAGUCAUUUCUUUUCACAUUCAUUCACUAAGAGUUGCAUCCCCUCACUAAAGGUUGCAUUCAUUCAGUAAGGAUUGCAUCCAUUUACUAAAAAUCAAAGAACAAAAUAUAUUAUUUUAAAAUUUUCCUUACAAUUCCCCACCAAAUUUUAAAAUACAUAAAAAUACAUAAAAAUACAAAAUAAAACAAAAUAAAAAAUCAAAGAUAAAAAAUUCUUGACAACUUGACAAAAUCAUAUGCAUAGGUGUAGGUGUAUUAAAACUUGAACCUACAUUUAGUGAAAAUACAUGAAAGUUAGUGAUAAUUGAAUGGUAGACAAGAUUUGAACCAAUAAUUAUUUUUUUGACUAACCGGACAUAUCUCACACAUAGAAACUUAUAAUCAAUCGAAUGCUUUAUUUUAUUGCUGACACUUUAUGGCCUUGUAUCUACAUCCUAUUUUAUGAAUGCUGUUAAAGUCAAGCCCUUAACUCUUAAAAGCGGCCGCACUUCACAUUCAUAUCGGUAGAUUCUACCAAAAGUGUUCCAUAUUUAACACUUCAGUAAAUACUAUUGUAGGUCUAUUAAGAACUUUAUUAGCUCAACCUUCCCUUUCAAUACGAAUACCAAGCACUUUACUUGGGAUGAAAAUUUUAUAUUAUAGUGCUUGCAAUCACUCCAUAUAAUGUACUUUGUGUCAUUGAAUUUAAGACUUGAUGAUGUUUCAAGUGUUAAGUCGAGUUUUCAUUAUUGGCGAUUUUGUAAUGUGGGCUUGAGACCCAUCCCCGUCGAUAUCUUGAAUAUCAAUUAUCUUGGAAGUCCUUUGGUCAACGGAUCCGCAAGAUUUUGGCUUGAUCUUAAUCAAUGGUAAUUAUGCCAUCUGAUAUCAGUUGUUUUACAUAGCUAUGUCUUAAAUCCAAUAUUCUUGACUUUUCAUUAUAUGUAUUACUAUAUGCUCUUGAGAGCGUAGCCUCACUAUCGCAAUGUAGUGAUAUUGGCGGCAUUGGUUUUGGCCAAAGUGGAAUCUCAUACAAUAAAUUUUUUAUCCAUUCCGCCUCCUUACUAGCAGAUGCUAGUGCUAUAAAUUCUGCUGCCAUUGUAGAGUCCACUAUACAUGUCUGUUUGGAACCCCAAGAAAUCGCACGUCCACCUAACAAAAAUAUCCAUCCACUUGUGGAUGCAUGAUCUUCUCGAUCUGUUAUCCAACUGGCAUCUGUAUAGCCUUAUCCACUAUAGAAAAUUUCAUAAUCCAUUGUCUUUUUCAAAUAUUUUAAAAUUCUGUAAAUAGCAUGCUAAUGUAUAUUACCCAGAUUACUAGUAAAUCUACUUACUUUAUACUAGUAAAUCUACUUAAUUUACCAACAGCAUAUGCAAUAUCAUACCUAGUACAAGACAUAACAUACAUCAAACUUCCAAUAAACUUAGAAUAUUCUAGUUAAUUAAUUGAUCUACCAGUGUUGCAAACUAGUUUUAGAUUAGAAUAAAAAAGAGUGGAUACUGGAGUACAAUCAAAAUAACCAAAAUUUCUAUGAAUCUUUUCAAUAUAAUGAGACUCGGAUAAAAAUAAAUUAUUAUUUUUAUGAAUAAUUUUAGUUUCCAAAAUAAUAUCAGCCUUGUAGAUACCUUUCAUAUCAAAAUUACAAGAUAAAAAGUUCUUAGUAUUUUCUACUUGCUGAAAAUUAGCAUCAAAAAUUAACUUGUCAUCAACAUAUAAACAAAUAAUAACACCUUUACUAUUUUAAAAUUUACUAUAAACACAUUUAUCAGAUUGAUUAAUUUUAUAACCAUUGGAAAGAACAAUCUGAUCAAACUUUUGAUGCCAUUAUUUAGAUGCUUGUUCAAGCCCAUUCAACGACUUAACAAGUGUACACACUUUGUGCUCUUGUCCAGGAACUACAAAACCCUCAAGCUAUUCCAUAUAAACUUCUAUCUUUGCACACAUGCCUUUUGGAACCCGAAUCAAUCCACCAAGCUCCGUCAUCUUUGAGAAUGUUAGCCUCGGAUAUCAUAGCCACAAAAUUUAUUUUGGAAUCUAGUGCAUUUUCCUUUUUGAGGAACCAACAUUCUUUCUUUUAAUGACCCGGUUUACCAUAAUGAAAACAUGCACUUUUCCUUUUCUUAUUUGUCGUGUGGUUGAUUGGAUGCUUGACUCUCUUUCGAUUUUCUUUCGUGGGUUGACCAAUUGAUUGAGAAUAUGUUGAAUUUCAUGUAAUUGAUCAAGAACGGAUCUACUAUCAACCAUUUUAUAGUUAUUAAAUUUACUAACAAGAAACUUCUUACUUAUGGCAUUCUCAGAUUUGUCUUUUUAUUCAAGACCUUCCUAUAGUUCUUUAGCCGUUUUCACAUUUUGGUAGACAUCGAAAAGCGCAUAUGACAUAGCAUUUAGAAUGUUGCCUCGGCAUAUAAUGUCAUCUUCAUCCCAUUUUUGUCUUCUACGAGUUUGUGCAAUAGGUUCAUCAUCAUUUUCUCUUGGUCUUGGAGUAGUGAGGAGAUAAGCAACUUUGAGAGUCGACAGAAGGAAAAAAAAAAAAAUUCUUCUACCAGCGCCUUAGUCAAACCAAUUAAUAAUUUAUAUAUAGAGUAAAUUUGUUUCAUGGUUUGUAGAAACCCUGAANAACUUCACGCCAUCAAAUCUUUCUAGUCUUAUAAAGUUUGUUGCCAUCUCUUAUAGAGUAGCAGUCAACAUUUUCGGAAUUAAGCCAUAUGAUUGUUAGAACAGAUAGAGAAAAGGUCUGAAGUAGAAAGAUGAAAAAGACUUUAAGGCGUGUAGCAAUGCCACUCUCCUUAAGGCUUAAUCCCCCGCAGCAUUCUUGCUCACUCCACCUCCUCCACAGAAGAGAAAAACUCCUUUUCCUUUUUUCUUUCACACUCUAACCCUAACUUCUCUCUAACGGUGGACUAACGGUGGAAAACUCAGUAGCACCAAGCGCUUGGUGCUAUCGAUAGUAUCCCAGCCGGACUCUCUCUCUCUCUCUCUCUCUCUCUCUCUCUCUCUCUCUCUCUCUAUAUAUAUAUAUAUAUAUAUAUAUAUAUAUAUAUAUAUAUAUAUAUAUAUAGAGUUGGGAUAGAAUACAUUAGAUAAGUAUUUGGCCAUUUUGCUAUCAAGUUUUUAAUCUUAGAUGAGAAAUUGUAAGAUUAUGAUAAGAUUAGUCCUUAGGGUUGAGUGGGGCCCCCUAGGGUUAAGUAGUCGUCACUGAGGGUAUAAUAUUAUAAAUCUAAUGGUUAGAAAUGAUCAAAGGAAUUGAUUCAAAGGAUAAAAACUUAAUAGCAAAAGCGGCAAAUACUCUUAAUAAUAUUCUAGCCCAACUCCAUUAUUAUAUAUAUAUAUAUAUAGAGAGAGAGUCGGCUAACUAUUUUUUAUGAGCAUUGGUUCUCUUAUACUCAUAAGUUUUCGGCCCUUAGAUUUAUUCCAUGAUCAUUUCCACCCGUUAAUCAUACUAUUCAACAACUAUCCACUAACUAGGGACCACUAUCAUUCUAAGUGGGGACCACAUCACCUAACCAGCACAUCCCAUCAAUCAACGGGUUAAAAUUUAUGAGUACAAGAGCGUUCUAUACUCAUAAGAGUAUAGUAGCCCCAACCUCUAUAUAUAUAUAUAUAUAUAUAUAUAUAAUAAUAUUAUAUAUUUAUACAGUAUAUUAGUAUAUUAUAGGUAUAUUAUUGAUAUUGGUCACGGCCCGAAAAUGCCCAAUACAUUUUUUUUUUUUGAAAACCUUGACCCAAAGGAAUGCCUUCACCCAAAGGAUGACAGACCUGCCACAAAUAUAGGAGACCCAUUGUUCAAACGGACAGAGCAUCCCCUGUAUUUGCACGACAUCGCACAAGCACAAGUACAACCACAAUCAUUCACUACACAACAUACUAAUACAUUUCCACAAGAAAACUCUUUUAAAACUAUUUUCCACUCGGAAACCUUUUCUUUAAAGACACUAUCACGAUGGGUAGAAAAUUAUUUUUACAACUCACAACCAGUUAUAAAAGCCAUAAUAUUUAACUUUAUAAAUCCAUAAACAUUCAACCGAAAUAAAACCACUAAACCAUAAAUGUCUAAGUUAUUUAUUUUGAAUAAGUAAGGAUAGAAACUAAACCAAUUCAAUCAGGUCAGAAGCUCUAUCGAUCGCUACUAAUGUGUCUCACGCCUCGUCACAACCCUCAUCGCCCGCAUCACCUGAAAAAUGGUGGGGGGUGAGAACAUAUAAACAUAUCUCCCCUCCCAGUGGGUACCGCAAGCCAACGAAGACGAGGAGUACACACUGAUACAUAGAGAUGUCAACGGGUCGGAUUCGGGGCGGAUUUUUUAAAAACCCGAACCCGAAUCCGACUCCAAACCCGAGACCCGAACCCGAACCCGAACCCGAACCCGAACCCGACGGAUUUUAAAAAUCCAUAUCCAAACCCAAACCCGACCAAAAAUCCGAAACCCGAACCCGAACCCAAACCCGAAAAUUUGAACCCGAAACAAUUAUUUCUUUUUUCAAUAUUUCAAAAUAUAUUAUAUUAAAUCUAAAUUUUUAAAAUACAAAUUCAAAUAUAACAUCAAAUUUUAUAUAUAUAUAUUAUAUAUAAUACAAAAUAAAUUCGGGUUCGGGUCGGGUUCGGGCCGGUUUCGUUUUCGGGUCGGGUACAAUCAAAAUCCAUAUCUGAAUCCAUAUCCGUCGGGUUUCUAUUUUUUAUAUCCAUAUCCGAACCAUAUCCAUAUCCAUCAGAUAUAUCCGUUUCAUUCGGGUUCGGGUUCGGAUAAAAUUUCGGGUAUCCAUACCCAUUGACAUCCCUAUCGGUACAAGAAGAGAUAAUCAAAAUUAUGAGCAGAUAUCACAAAUAUAGUAGCAAUAAUACCGGAAGGAAAGAGAACAGUAAUAGAACAUAUAACUACCACUACUGUAAGGUAGAACAGAAUGCAUACAUCGAUAUCAUAACUACAGUAGCAAUGAUGCAGGGGGUAAACAACAGUACAGAGGAAUAUAACUAGCCGCUAUUGUAAUACAGAACAAAGUACAAGUAUGUAUCAACCGGACGAUUAGUCCCAAAAAUACCCAGAAGCCGCCAUAUCGGUCCGAAGACCUCAGGCUAUGCCACUACCGCUCUAACUUGUAUAUGACCCUAGCAUAAGCUCCUGAGUCUAAAGGCAUAUGAUCCUAGCAUAAGCUCCUGGGUCUGAAAGGCAUAUAAUCCUAGCAUAAGCUCCUGGGUCACGGGUCGGAUGUACGACCACUUUUUCGAAAAAAAUACCUUCCCGCGGUGGAUCAAACCGCUGGUGUAUGUGAAAUGCAUAUGAGCAGUGGCGAUCGAUGCAAUAUGCUUAAUAACCCACUGUCGGCGGAUAGCCAAAGUAAAGUCCAACAAAGAGUAACCGACCAACCAGAUCAACCUCUAUCUCAAGGAUAGAACAAUAUCAGAGUAACUGACUAACUAGAUCAACCUCUAUCUAAAGGAUAGAAAAAUAUUAUCGACCAAUCAGAUCAAACAGAGCAAGUCAUGCAAGACACUAGAAAUGUCACCGACCACGAAGUCAACUAAUAUAAAAUCAUGUCACGUAUAAAUACGUGUGUCACCGACUAUAAGGUCACCAAAGUCAAGAUCGUCUACUAUAGACAUGUCAUGGAUGAGUCAAUCAUCAGGAAUACCGCUCUACUAUAAGAUCAUGACCAUAUGAAAUAGAAGUACCCGUAGAACAACGAACUACGAAGUCAAGUGGUAUACGAAAGCUCAAUCAACAUCAAGAAAUGAAAAGAGGUAGAAAAGGUAGAAAUCACUGAGUAGGCACCACUUUACCGACUUCGGAUCGAAAUACCCACCUGUAUGAUAUCGUGCUUGUCUCUGGCUGUGGAAGAUCAUCAACCGGACCUACGGAGGGUCCACCGGAUUAGUAUCUAACCCACAUAUAGAAAAUACUAAACUCACAACCCUACAAUUAAACCUACAAAAAUCGGUUUUCCAAAAUCGAUUAACGUAACUCGCCGGAAGUCCUGAAAGUUGUCCCGGGCUUCCACCGGGACCCACAAAUUGUCCUGGAACUUACCGACUCAUGCCACUAGUCACCCGCUGCCACAAAAAACCAUAUUAAAGGUGUCCUGGCAGCAAACACGAAGGCUCACAUCGAAACAAUUAUUGACGGAUAACCGUUCUGAUUCGGGUUCCCGAAAGUGUCGAUUUCGGCAUCGGAACCCACCGUUGUUCACCCGUCGUCUCCGAACCUCCGAAAUGACGUAAGUGACCAGCCAACCAGGCUCAACGACAAAGUAUAGUAUACUCUAGUAUCGUCAGAAGAAAUCCGAACCAAAACUGCGUUCUGUUGGCGAAUUUCGUUGAAAAACGCACCGAAAAUCAAUAUUCAAUUUCCACGAAGGGCAUCAGACCUUGGACAAUCAGUCCAGAGGUCAUCUGCAGCCUACAUAUACUGCCCACAGCACCCAUGGAGUGCACAAUUGCACAAAAGCCCUUACUAUUCCAUAAAAUCACAUUAUUUUAUGUGAUUUAUCGGAUUUUAUGGGUUGUUACAGCAAACCGAGAGCUUUUGAGGUAGGCCGAGACAUGUACUAACAGGUCUCGACAUGCAGGAGGUUGUGUUCACGAUUCGGAGCACAACCGUCCACUGUGGAGAGCGCGGAAGCGACUUGAAAAUCUGCGAACCCUGCGCGCUGAAACUAAAAUGCAUAUAAUUCACCAAUCCGAGGCUCGUUGACCCCAAAUGAGGUAAGCACUGUGAUUAACACUGAUCGACGAUAACCGUGCUCACCUUCGGAGGCAUCGGAACAACCUUGGGUCGUCGGAAUAGUGGAGACAACCCAAAAACUCCCAAAAACAGCUUCAUUUAAGUUUACCGGGCAGAGGGGGCCUAGGGCGCGGCUUGUGGUGGACGCACCGGCGGCAGGCGGGUGCAGCCGGCAGGGGGAGGUUGGGACGCGCGUAGGCCGGCGCCGGAAGGCGGCGGUGGCUGCCGGCAAUGAUGCCCUAGCCGCACGGGAUGAUGGAGAGCUCAGCUCCAGUCCGACCGGUAGGGGGCUCCAGUGGCGGGAGUGCCGGCAGCGGGCGGGUGCGGCCAACUAGGGAGAGCCGGCACGCACAUCGGCCGGCGGCGGGAGGCAACCGGAGGAGCGAACGGCGAUGCCCUAUCCCACACGAGGUGAGGGGAGCUAGGGCUCAGCUUCUCCGGCAACGGUGGCCAAGGGGCGGCGCCGAUCGGCGACGGGGGUCUCCUGGGGUCGCUGGGAGGGGAGGCAGGGCACCAGGCGACGGUGGCGACGACGCGCGACAUCGCACGACCGCCCGAGCUUUGUUCGGUCAGAGGAUCGUCACGGCGGCGCCCUGGACGCGUGGCGGCGGUGGCGACCACUCUGAUCGGGCACGAGAAAGGCCGAGGACUAAGAAGAGGGUUCAAAAGGCCUCGGGGUGCCGUGGGGAAGCCAGCACAAGGACUCCUACUCCGCGCAUGCCCUAGUUCCACCCCGCAAGUCACAGGGCCGCGGCGGCGCACGGUGGGGGCGCGACUGCUAGGGGAAAGCCUUGACGGAGGUCUGGCGACGCCGACUGUCAUGCCCUGGAUUCCUCGUUUCCCCGGGCACGCUAACAGACUCGCCGUAUACAUAGAAAUUUUCCCUGUAUAAAGCGAAGCUGUACAAGAACCUGAAAUAANAUCUGAAUUAACUAGAUCCUAACGACCUAAUGCUAAGCUUUGAUACCAACUUAAUCUGUCACGCCCCGAAUUCCUCGUUUCCCCGGGCACGCUAACAGAUCCGCCGUGUACAAAAAAAUGUUUCCUGUAUACGGAGUGAAGCUGUACAUGUAUCUGCAAUCAUACAGUACUACAACCCAGUAGCAUAGAGCUGCUAGAAAGAAACAAAACAUAAAUAAAACUGAAGUUCACUAUACAUACAUAACAUCCAGAUGUACAAAACGCUCGCCCAAGCGAGAUACAACAUAAAUAUGUAUAAGAACUCAAAACUACCACUACCUGUAGCUGGUAUACUCUAGAUCAGCAACAACUGGGAAGGGAUCUAACUGGCAACUCCCUUUUCACGGUCUGAAAUAGCAGCAGCAGCAGCCGCAGAAGAAGGCUCUGCAAAAGAUUCCAACAACUGGGCGUGAGAACUACUGCAAAAAGAAGUAGUCCUCAGUGGGUACCGCUACCGACCUCAACGGCUCGCCCACUAAGUUUACAGAUAUAUGCUCAAAUGAUAGUAAAAAAACUGGAAAUAAUCUACAGCUACAUGCCACUAUACUAUCAUGAUUCGACACUACUAUCUGUAGAAUAAAACAAGCUCAGACCCAAACUCACUAGGGACUGUAAACAUAUCCGUCCCAGGGAUUGUGAGCACACCCGUCCCGUCUGUCGAAGCUAUACGGCUACCUCCACACUAAACAGUCUGUGGAGAGCAAGUCCAACCAGGACACAAUGACACCAACGCAAACGCACAAAGCCCGAGUCCGGAGUGGCACUCGUGGGCACUACGCAACCGAGUAUGCAAGUGUAUCUCUGUCGAUCUCAAUCAGGCUCUCACAGGCUAUAGUCAAAUAAAUAUGGUCUAACGGGUCUAACAACCAAACCCACGUGCCCUCGGUACAAUCUGAUGCAAAAACAGUAAUCUGGGUCAACCGAUAACCCCGACGGCACCCGACAGUCCGAAAGAGCCUAAACACUGCUGUAAAAAAAUAAGCUCGGCAUCUCAACACGAGCGUAAAUACAUUCUAAACUACCCGGAAUAUCCACCACUCUCAAAUUGUGGUGACACCAACAAACUAGGCUCAUAGAGCUAAAUCUGAUAGUUUAAGCAUAUGACGAUGUAAAAUCGGCAGUUUUCUCCUAAGUCAAAACCAAGUCCAACAUGUAUAUUUAAUCAAUAUUUCAAGCUCCCAAUUUAGAUUCCACUAAGCAUGUAAAUCAUAAAUUUGAGCUAAUUACAUUAAUCAAACCGAUAAUGAUACAUGUCGACAAUAUUACUUAGAAGGAAAAUCCACCGAAUUCGGUAAGUAUCACAAUUAACCCACCUCUCGCGCAACUCCACGGCAGCAAGAAGGUCACGAAAACACUGGUAAUCUCUGUUGUAAUCACCACAGGACCAGUAGUAAACCUCCUCAAAGAUCUGAACGUCAAAACCCAACAAAUUACAUUAUAACCCAAAAAUUCAGCACUUAAGCUUAACUUUCCUCAAUAUCAAUGUCAACUUCACCUUCUAAUACUCAAAUCUGGUGAAGUUAGGUUCCAAAUCCAGGGGAGAGUGAUAGCACACAAAGCUUAGGUAGCAAUUCCAGCUCCCUCCAAAGAUUGCAUCAAGAAAGUCCAAGAAAACUCACAAUCAGGUCUAAACCACCAGCAGCAAAGAGAAACACGAAAUUGACCAAGCUAACCUCAAUCAAAUUCUGUCAAAUUGGGCUCCACGGAUUCCUCUUGAAGUCUAAAAUCCAACAAACCAAGUUUUACUGCAAUCCGACCUUCCUACGGCGCACACGAGCCGAAACGCCGAAGGUCGCUGCUGGAAAUCUGCAAAAUCAGCACUCCUCAAGCUUAGAAUUGUGGGUUUUGGUGUAAAUUGGGAAGUUUAGAAGGGUUGAAAUGCAAAUUAUGGGUUCUCUGUGAAGAAGGGAGGAAAAGAGCUCACCAGGGACGUACUCCCACUAUUUAUAGGGUGAUAGGAUGAUCCAAUAAACCCCAGGAACAAAAGCUGUUAAACUUCUCACUCUGCAGGAACGGCCACUUUCGGACGCCCAGAACCCCUUUCUGGGCGUCCGAAACAUCCAGGCUGCACAAAUGCUCCCCUUAGGUUCCUCCGCCGGCGGUCUGCUGCGCUCAUAUCCGGCUUCGGCGGAUCUCACCUACCACCAGCCACGUGUCAGGUUAAACGAUACUCACGAGGUGAACUUUCGGACCCACUUCCGAGCGCCCGAAACCAGGAUCCGAAUUGGUUUCCAGUUCUGCUCAGUUCUGCACUCAAGUUCUGGGCGACCCAAAACCUAUUCUAGGUGCCCGAAUUUAGCAAAACUCCAGUUUUGCUUAUUUGAGUGCGUCGAGUCCAUUUUUGCAUCUAUUUCGUGCAGAAUUGACUCCGACUCAGUCCGACACUCUCCAGGUGUGUCGACCAGUUACUAACACUGUUGUCAAUUCUAUCCAAACCUCAGGAACACUACACCAACAUUGUCCAAAGGGGAAAGGAAAGGUGCUGGAUUAGGGUUGUAUGAGGAGAAACCCUAGAAACUCUCUUAUAUAGCAACGAGUAAAUCACACGUAACUCCCUCAAACCGUGACAUUUUCAACCGAGACCCUGACCAUGAAUGUAUGACAGUCUCGCGCCACGACCCACCGAGUUUCAUGAAAUUUCGCGCAUAAAAUAUAGGGGCUUUCGUGUGAAAUAUGAAAAUGAUCAAUUUGAUCCUUCCUCGAUAAACACGUGAUAUCUAGCGAUCUGUUCGUCGGAUUUUCGAACGGGUUGUGCCGGCACGUUUAGCAUGAUUGAGACAUCGAAUCCAUGAUUUUGUUUCAUUCUAUUUUGUUAUCGAUUAGCAGCGAAAUCCAACCUCUCUCCGAUUCUCCAAAACCCUCUUUCUGAUAAUGGGUCACUAUGAACGAAGACCCCUAAAAUAUAACGAGUGCUUAUGUAAUUGAAUUACACACAAAAACACUGUCAACAAAGCAUUUAGCUACACAGCCAAAUUCUCAGUCCUCACACACACACACGCACACACACAUAUAUAUAUAGUCGGACUACUAUACUCUUAUGAGUAUAGUCCCCUUUGUACUCAUAUAUUUUUUGCCGUUAGAUCUAUUUCUUUGAUCAUUUCCACCCGUUAUUUCAUACUAUUCAACCAACUAUCCACUCAACCCUAUGGGACCACUUUUAACCUAAUCGGGGACCACUAUCAUCCUAGCCGCACAUCUCUUCAUCCAAUGGUCGAAAACUUAUGAGUACAAAGGGGGCUAUACUUAUAAGAGUAUAGUAACCCUAGCCUAUAUAUAUAUAUAUAUAUAUAUAUAGAGAGAGAGAGAGAGAGAGAGAGAGAGAGAGAGAGAGAGAGAGCUAGGCUGGUAUACUAUCGGUAGCACGGAGGUCUUCGUGCUACUAAGUUGUUUUCAAUGAUGCGGCUUCCAAAUUGACGAUUGGCCCCGUUAAACUUGAUCUACACUAUUAAAAGUAUUUGGAACCUAAAUUUCAUAAUUUUUCGACAUCAUUUGGCUAGUGAUCAAAAGGCCUUAAAAUUGACAAUUUUAAUGGUUGAUGUGAUGCAUUUGUGAAUUUAACGGUGUAAAACAAUCCAAAUCUGAUGAAAUUUUUGUAGAAAAUUUUUUUCACUAUUUAGAGUAAGAUCAAUGCCUCUGAUUUUAAAUUCAAGUCUUUUAUCAUCAUUUUUUAUGAGAUUUUUAUUUUUUGCUGUUCAUUUUUAAACUACUCAUUUGAUAGGUAAAUGACGCCGAAAAAUUAUGAAAUUUAGUUUUCAAAUACUUUCAAUAGUGUAGAUCAAGUCUAAUAGAGUCGAUCGUCGAUUUGGAAGCCACAUCAUUGAAAACAACUUGGUAGCAUGGAGACCUCCGUGCUACUAAUAGUAUGCCAGCCUAUAUAUAUAUAUAUAUAUAUAUAUGUAUGAGUCUAGCUAUUAUGUUAUCAAUAAUACCAAGCACUUAGUGCUGCCAGGUUUUCCACCGUUAGAUCUAUCUCGUUGACCAUUUCCACCCGUUAGAUCAUAUUCAACCAACCACUCACUCAACCCUAGGGGAUCACUAUCAUCUUAACCGCACAUCCCUUAACUAACGGCCAAAAACCUAAUAGCACCAAUGAUUUGGUGUUAUUAAUUAAUAGUAUAGUAGCAUAAUUCUGCAUAUAGAGUAUAUAUGGCAUUCUGUUAAUGUAAUUAAUUUUUAUAGUUGAUUAAUAAUAUUUUUCUCUUUGUUGAAGAGUUGUAUUCUUUGUGUAUCUCUCUUUCCAUUCUUUUUGCUUCUUCUCUCUCAACGCAGCUUAGGCUUGCAUUAGUCCCACUAAAGCCUUUAUCAAAAUGGGCUUUGGCAUGUCCCAUGUUACCAAUGUGUAUGCGUAGCCCAUUUACCGAAGCCACUAUCCAAAAUGUCUUUUCGCUGUCUACUGAAGAUCUUUUCGACGCUACAUAUCUUCCUCACAUUCGUCCUCAUAUCGGUGUCAAAAUUAGGUAACAAAAGUCGCCAUAUCCAAAUCGUGUCAUAUAUAUAUCCCGUAUCCAUGCACACCUUAUGCAACAUAAAAAAAAGAGGUAACUACUGUGAAUCGUAAAGUAUAAUGAAUUUUUAUAUUAGGGCAAUUGCUUAUAUGCCCCUGAAAAUUUUCCGACUUUCCGAUUUACCCUUCUUAGAAGGCUAAUAUUGAAAAUACCCUUUUUACGUUCCAACCUAUUUCUAAUAUACUCCUAGAGUUAAAAUCUGGUAAUUAACUCCGUUAUCUCUGUAAAAUUACUAUUUGCCCUUUCAAAUAUACCUUUCCACAAUCACCGACUUUCUUAUUUGCCCUUAAAGUCAGGGGCACAAAAAGUAUUUUGACUUUUGGUCUUUUCAAAUAUACCCCUCUACCGUUACCAACAUUUCUUAUUUGCCCUUAAGUUAAGGACAAAAUUGGCAUUUUAAUUUUUUUUAACUGUGGUGGAUAUUUAACUCACGUUUAACCCAAGUUAACUUAACAGGAGAUAACUGCGAGGCUAUUUUGCAAUAACGGUGGAACAUAUGAGGGGUAUUUUAGAAAGAAAAAAAAAAGCAGAGGUAAAUCGGAUAUUUUCAAACGUAUGAAGGGUAUAUAGGCAAUUAUCCCUUUUAUAUUUGAUAAGUACUUUAAAAGGUUAGGGACUGAAUUAACAAACUCAUUUAGUAUAAAUAAAAGAGCAAUGCUAUAUAUACACACCGGAUGGGUGCAUAUCCUACACCCUACCCAUCAAAUAGGUGGGGUGUAACUUGUACAGCCAGGAUGGGGUGUACAAGUAGCAUAUUUCUAAAUAAAAAGGGGAAAAUGUAUAACAACACAUAGGGUGUCUGAGCUUUUAAUUUUUGGUAAUUAUACUCUUAAACUUUAUCGAUAGUUCAAUAGGCUCAUCUUCUUAACUAAAGUUAUUAAUUACACAAUAUUUUGGUUUUGUGUAUUUCAUAUAGUGUUUUGAAGUUUAUUUUUGUAUUUUAACAUAUAUGUAAAAAAUAAAAAAAAAAGAUUUAAUCUAUUACUCGAUCGUCGAACUUAAUUAUCAAAAUUCAAAGAAAAGAAUAAAUUUCUUUAUAUUUUAAAGUUUUACAGGAUUAUAUGUGCGACAUCUAAUCACAAAUGCUUUCUAAUUAGUAAGUUACUUAAAUAGAGAGUUCUAUUAAACCAUUUGAUAAAGUUUAGAAAAUGUUAUUGCUAGAAGUAUAUGAUCGUAUUUGCAAUCAAGAGGUCUCUAUACAUUUUUCCCAAUAGAAAGUUAAGUGCGCACAUAAGCUGACAUAUAAUCUAAAAUAAAGGUCAGAAAACAUUGAAACAUAAGCCGACAAAACACCAGUAAUCUUCUUAAUUUCCUUCUUUCUUCCCUUUCAUUAUAGUGUGCAGAAGUCAGCUGGGUUUUUCUUUUCCAUCUUUAUGGAUUGAUGACAUUAUAUAUAUUACGGCCAUUACAUAAUAAAAUAUAGCAGAUGAAGUAGUGCUCAGUAAAUUCAUUCAUGUAUGACCUUACAUAUCACUCUUCUUUUUUUUUAGCCCUUUUUAUCAGCAAAGUUCCAGGAGCACUGAGCUAAAGUGGCAACUGAAUCCAGACACAAUGGCGGCCGGAUUCAAUCCGCAGAUUCAGUAAUCAGAGAAAGGUGACCACUGCAGCUCCAGUGAAGAGAUUAGACAUGCAGUUAGUGGUGCAGUUAGGAACAAUCACAAGUAUGUUAAAAGCGAUAGAUGUACAUUAAAAAUAUGAACUCUAAAUCAAGAUGAAAUGCGUGUCGAUUUCUAAAUUACGGUUAGAAAUGAGCGCAGGGACUGGCGCUUCCUUCAGAUAGAGCUUCUUACAAGAUUAUAUGGAUAAAUUAAUAGUUACUCAUACAUACUUAGAUGCAAAUUAUACAUAACUAUAUAUUAAGACAUUGAUACAUUUUUUUUCAAAAAGAUACUCUUCUUUAAUAAGAAAGCAACGUAUAGGACAUGUAUAUUGCAGCUUGGCAUAAUUAGAUUAAUUUGGUCUAGUUUUUUGUGUUUUAAAUAUCGGGAAAUUAAUUAAACCAUGUCUUUUCUUCUAUUUUUUCCCUUCUUUUCCAUGGUUUUUCAAAGAGUUUUUCAGGCGACGAACCAAGUGGACACAAGCUAGAUUGUGCUUACAAACAGUUAAUUUCAUGCCACAGAUGUUAGGAUUAAAAGCAUGCUAAUUCAGUUACAUUAAUUGCACAAAUUUGUUUCAUUAAUGUUUUCUAUUUUAUCAGAUUAAGUACUUUAUUUUUCUGUUUCUUUUUUUUGAGAGAUAGGUAGUAUGCUCCUGCUUUAUUUAUUUUAUUUAGAAAGAAACUUAGCUGAAAAUGUGAAUCAAUUAGGAUUCGAACUUGAGACCUCGAAUACCAACCACCAAACCCUUUGUCAGCUUCAUUUAUUUCUUUUUCUUUAUAAACAAAAUUUACAUGUUUUGAAACAUAAAAUUUACUAUCACAACUAGGGCCUGCUUGGCUAUAUUGUAGGGUGUAGCACAUACUUUUUUAUGAAGUUUUAUUUAAAAGGUACUAUUUAGAACAACAAGAUACUAAAUUGUCACAAAUUAACUAGCUAUUUCUCUUUUUAGCAAAAUUAGAAGCUAGUUCUAAACUAGAUAUAUUUUUACAUUUACUUAUCAAAAUAAAUUUUUUUGCUAGCUAUAGCAAAAUUAAUGUUAUAUUUUGUUUAGAUUUGUAGUUAUCUAAAUUGAAGUUAAAUCCUAAUCUAGAUAGGAUUAGAUAUAAUUUAGAAUUAAUUUGGCAUAUAUGGAUUAUAAGUAGGAAUGUAAUUCUAAUUGAAUUAGGAUUAGACUCUAGUUAGAGACAUGUACUAUAUAUACAUGCUACAGCAAAGUUAAUGAUGCCGCGACCAAAUUAAGAGCCAUGCUAAUUAAUUAAGUAAACAUCAAGGAAGAGUGGUCCGUACGGGUGAGAGGAGUCGAGCCGCUUAUUUGGAGUCGCCUGUACCGAUGCGGAUCUCGGCGUUUCGGAUCUAAUUAAGUUUUGGUUCUUCGGGAGAUUUUUCUUUGUACUCCACCUUUCGACAUUAAUAAAUUAUUAUUUGCUCCGUCUUCGCCCGUGGACGUAGGCUGGUGGCCGAACCACGUAAAUAUUGGUGUGCUCUUUCUUCUUAUCUUUUUUUUUUCCUGCAUUAAGUUAUUUUUCUGGAUCUAUUUUUCGCCGUUCCGAUUUAACAAACUGGUAUCAGAGCCUUUCUAUUCCCUUUGAGGAUUAAGAUGACGACGAAGUUCGAGAUUCAGAAAUUUGACAGAACCAACAGUUUCGCAUUAUAGCAAGUCAAGAUGCGUGCUAUAUUAACACAACAAGGAUUGCAGAAGGCACUGUUGGAAAAAGAAAAGAUGUCUGAUUCUUUGAAGCUGGAGCAGAAGGAGGAGAUUGAUGAUAAAGCUCUGACGGCAAUACAAUUAUAUAUGUUUAUUCGAUAAGGUAUUGCGCGAGGUCUUGGAUGAAAAGACCGCUGGGUUUUGGCUUAAAUUGGAGUCUAGUCUCUCACCAACAAGCUAUAUUUGAAGCAACUUCUCUUCAUGUUGCGCAUGGCAGAAAGUACCUCUAUUAAGUUGUAUUUAGAUAAAUUUAAUUCUAUUAUUAUGGAUCUCAACUCGAUAGACAUUAAAAUCAAGGAAGAAGAUGAAGCCCUUUUAUUAUUAUGUUCUUUACCGCCCUCUUACAAGAAUUUUCGUGAGACCUUCUUGUUUGGACGAGAUACUCUAUGUCUCAAUGAUGUUAAAUUCUCUUUACUUUCAAAAGAAAGAAUUGACAUGCAGAUAAGCAACGAGACAAGUGGAGCUUUAGGACAAGGUUUGGUUGCUAGAGGGAGGUCUCGGGAGAACGGUUCCGGUAAUAGAGGUACAUCUAGAUCAAAGUCAAAGCAUAGAAAUUUGAUUUGUGGUUAUUAUAAGAAGAAGGGUCACAUAAAAGCUUAUUGUUUCAAGUUAAAAAAUAAAGAGCAGCGGAAGAAUAACGGUGAUAAGAAUCAAAGUCAGAAACACAUCAAUACUGAAGCAGAAGCAAGUGUUGCAGCAGGAGAAUCAGAUAAAAAUAAUAUCGUCUUCAUAGUUACGAAUAAGACAUGCAGACAUGAUG